This is a long non-coding RNA of Callithrix jacchus (white-tufted-ear marmoset), 7549 nucleotides long. RefSeq lists it as uncharacterized. NCBI's taxonomy places the organism in Eukaryota, Metazoa, Chordata, Mammalia, Primates, Cebidae. The record is from RefSeq and is a predicted model, not a curated record.
CCCCCCCCGCCGCGCGCGCACGCCUGACGUCAGCGGCCAGCGUGAGUCACGCGCGCAGGGAGAGCGCGAGGCGGCCUCUUCCUCCCCCCCUUCCUCCUCCGGCCCGGCCCAGACCGGUUCCAACCUGCUAGGGCCGGUCCCAACUGCCUACAACUGCCACCAACCUCUGGUCGGGCUGUGGGGCGGGAAACUCGGUCCUGGCGGCCGAGUGGUGAAGGCGGGAGCUCGGGAUGUAGAGUGCAGUCUCCCCAGGCCAGGUCUUCGAGGCCUAACUGUUCCUCUGACCAUAAAACCACAGUAGUAGGCUCCUUUGGGGCAGUGAGAAGUCCAAGACACAACCGAGACGAGUUCCAUGGGCCCCAGCCCCAGAACCCACCUAUGAAUGAUGAUUAGCGUGAAGUCCUGUCAGGAGAUUCCAUGCAGUUUGCACAGGAUGCCUUUUGUGUCCCCAAGGCUCGUAGGUUGUCCACGAGGGCCACCCUUGCUUGAAUUCACUCUCGACGUAGAUAAACAUGCAAAGAUGAAAACGUGUCAGUGCGUGCCCAUGACCGUUUCCCUCGCGGGCUGUGCGGAGCCUGAGUCUGGGAGCCCGACGGUGAUGGGUUCCGAGUAUGUCUGCAGGCUCAGCAGAAAUGUGGCAUUAGAGGGAUGCCCAAAUACUGACACUACAAGAGUCCAGCAGGAUGGGAAAACCUCUUCCUGGAAGUCUGCAUCUGUGUGUGUGCUUUUUAGGUCGCUGUCUUCGUUUCCUUCAAGCCACCUUAAGCAUUCCCUACAGUUAGGUGAUGGUGAAGACAGAUGAAUAAGGGGCAGUUUCUCCUGUUAAGCAAAAUGUUGCUUUCCAUUUUCCCUGCUGCUCUGUGAAUGCCUUUCAUCCCCAUGUGCUCCUGAAUGAUGUGCAUGUUUAAAAGGAUCCCCACCUGCGAGAGGUUUUGGAACCUGGGGGAUUGAACAGCAGCUCUUAAGUUCAGUGAACGAAGAGCAUAAUCAUCUGUUGGAGUGGAAAGAACUCAAAGUAGGAGGAACUCUGGCUUGUUAUAGAACUAUGUUAGAUACUAAAGAAGGCUUCCCCACAACCCAUAUGCAUCUGCUUUGACUGGUGGUUUCUGUCAUCCUACAAAGACUGUGACUUAUUGGUGAGGGCAGCUGAACAACUCUGAGAGCAACUUAGAGAAAUCCAUCUUGGGCACACUCUAUAAAGGAGCUCCUUCUCUGCAAAUAGCACCCCAGAUAAGUCCACAAAAUCAAGAUACCCUCGUGGACCUACACGUCCUCCCGCUUUUCAACACCCUGAUGCCUGAAGUGUGUAGAAUUUGACAGCAGUAUCGAGCUGAGGAGGACAAGAUGGAAAGGAGUCUAUCAAUUUAAAAAUCUCACAGCGUUCUCUGUGAGGUGACCUUUUUUCCUGUUGGUGGCUCAAUUUAUUUAGGACAUAAAGAAGAUACUUAGCAAAAUCAUGUUCAAGAAAGUGUUAUAUUGGCAAAGCAAUCCAAUAAAAUAAGCUACCUAAGAUGCAAAAAAAAAGAAGAUACUGAGGCCUGUGACAGCCUGUGACAGUAUCAUCAAGUAGUAUCUGAACUUACUGAACUGGUUCCUCCCCUUCCUUAUUCUUUAUUCAUAGUUUGCUUUUCAUGUGCAUAAGUUGACUCACUUGUUUUCUUUUAGCAUUUGAAACACCAUAUAGCCACCAUAAGUCCUGACAAAAUGACUUCUAAUGAUGGGGAAGGCCCAUGUCCCAUGGUCCUGUGAAACUUUGGCCUAUUUGCAAAUCUACCCCCACAUAAGAGAAGUAGUUGUGUUCUGUAAAGAAAAUGUUGACAAAAGCCUUUAGCAUGUUUUGUGACUAAAAAAACCUUUACGUGUUUUGUGACUUAGAAAUUUUAAAAGUCAUUCUUUACAUUUUUUUUUUUUUUGAGAUGGAGUUUCGCUCUUGUUACCCAGGCUGGAGUGCAAUGGCGUGAUCUCGGCUCACUGCAAUCUCCGCCUCCUGGGUUCAGGCAAUUCUCCUGCCUCAGCCUCCUGAGUAGCUGGGAUUACAGGCACGUGCCACUGUGCCCAGCUAAUUUUUUGUAUUUUUAGUAGAGGCGGGGUUUCACCAUGUUGACCAGGAUGGUCUCGAUCUCUUGACCUCGUGAUCCACCCGCCUCGGCCUCCCAAAGUGCUGGGAUUACAGGCUUGAGCCACCGCGCCCGGCCAAAGUCGUUCUUAUAUCUAAGGAUUUAUUAAUUUUGUUAAGAACCUUACUGUAUCUUUUUGAUGUCACUUUUACUGUAAAGAAGUGCCAAGCAUUUGGCGGUCUGCCACUUUAGGAUUUGUGUGAAUCCGACCAUCUAAAUAUAAUAUAAAUUAGAGACUAAUACUUGUAUUUUCUGAUUAAAAUCAAACUAACCUCUGUUUCACUAUUGAAGUAAGAGUACUUUAGAAUGAAUACAAAAAAUAUAUAUUAAAUAUCCAGUAGAGCAUGCUAAAGUGAACAUUUCUGUUUUUAUUUCAGUAACUUACUUUAUGGUAUUGUAGUUACGGCCUGUCUGAAACUCUCCAACAUAUUCUAAACAGCUUUCAGAGAGUCACUGAGGUUUAUUUCCUGCUACUCUUGUAUUUUCCUUUAACUCAGUUAAGAAAUGCUUAGUUAACAGUCAACAUGGUGGUUAAAAGUACUGACUCCAGGGUCAUACCACCUUCAUUUGAGGCCCAGCUCUGUCAGUUACUAGUUGUAGGAUCUUGGGCAGUGACUUACCUCUUUGUGUAUCAGUUUCCUGAGAGUAGGAAGACUACCUGUCUCGUGGGGUUGUUAAGAGGAUGAAAUAAAUGAGUUAAUUUAUGUAAAGUGCUUAAAGUAGUGCUUGGCGCGUAGGAUAGUGUAGAUACUGUUCUCAGCCAUUAUUUGAACAGGGCCCUAGUCACUGCUUUCAGUUGCAUUGCUCCUUGCUUUAACAGCCCUGACCAAAUGCCUUCUUUAGCUGCAUCCACACUGAAAUAGAGUCUUCAGUUUCUAGGGCACGCAUGGGGCAGCAGCAUGGGGCACCCACUCAGUUUAGGUCCAAAUACUUUGUUGUACAGAAAACAGUGUACAAAGAACAUGUUAGUUUAAACAUAUUACUAAAGUGUCAUAGAACUGGAGGUUUUCCAGGCUAGCUGCUUACAGAAAAACUAUGGUUUUUUUGUUUUGUUUUUGAGACAGGGUCCCGCUGUGUUGCCUAGGCUGGAGUGCAGUGGUGCGAUCUUGGCUCACCGCAACCUCCGCCUCUUGGGUUCAAGUGAUUCUAGUGCCUCAGCUUCCCAAGUAGCUGAGGUUACAGGCACAUGCCACCAUGCCCAGCUAAUUUUUGUGUUUUUAGUAGAGAUGGGGUUUCACCAUGUUGGCCAGGCUGGUCUCAAACUUCUGAUCUCAAGUAAUCUGCCCAUCUUGGCCUUCCAAAGUGCUGGGAUUACAGGCAUGAACCACCAUGCCUGGCCAGAAAAACUUUGAAUAAAGUCAAGGUAUUCUCUGAUUUGGGGAAGAAUGAAUGGGAGUUUUUAAUAGUCUCGAAUAUUCUCUGACACAAGUGAUGCGAGUGACCCUUACAUGAACCUUCCUGUUUCACCAGCUCUAGGCCCCAUAGGGUAAGGGGACAAUUAUAGAAAGAAGGGACUUAGGGACACACAGGACCAGUUGCAUACCCUUUCUGGCUCUUGUUAGUUUUUGGGGCCAGGGCAGCUCACAGGUGUCAGAAUGUUCCAGUGAGCCCCACUGAAAAGUGGGCUGAAAUAAUUGGCCAGUGAUUGGCUCCCCCACCAUAAACACUGACUUGCUUGAGUGCCCAUAGCACUUGAACUGUGGGUUGUUGUCUGUGUGCGUGUGUGCAUAGAUGUGGUAGGGAGUUUCAUUGCAUCUAGGAGCUUCAUAUCGGCCGUAAAAUCAUACUGUAUUUACUCUGACUAAAGGCCAGUGCGGGAUCAAAGACUACCUAAAAGGUUCAGAAACACUUAGAAAUUCGCUAGACACUUAUUUUAUUUGCCUGAAUAAUACUCCCUGAGCUUGCUUUUUCUGCCAGAGAGAAUGUUCUAAAUCAGGAUCCCUUUAGAAGAUUUGGAAGUCACAUCUCUAUAACUGAGUAGUGUGUCAGAUCCAUCCAAAUAUUUACCUACCACCAAUUAUAGCUUUAUUUGGCCUUAUUUUUAUUUUUUUAUUUUUAUAAGACGGGGUUUCACCAUGUUGGUCAGGCUGGUCUUGAACUCCCGACCUCAGGUGAUCCGCCCUCCUUGGCCUCCCAGAGUGCUGGGAUUACAGGCGUGAGCCACAGCGCCUGGCCGGCCUUAUUUUUUUAAAGCUUUUUUUUUUUUUCUCUUUUUUUGGAGAUACGGUCUGGCUCUGUCACCCAGGCCGGAAUGCAGUAACGUAAUCAAAGCUCACUGCAGCCUUGAACUCCUGGGCUCAAAUGAUCCUCUCACUUUAGCCUCCUAAGUAGCUGGGACUGCAUGCAUGUACCACCACACCUGACUAGUUUUUUAUUUUUAAAGUUGUUUUGUGAAGUUGGGUCUUACUGUGUUGCCAGGCUGAUCUCGAACUUCUGGCCUCAAGCAGUCCUCCUGCCUCUGCUUCCCAAAGUGCUGGGACUGAGACACCACACCCAGCCUAAACUAAAAGCCAUUUUUAGUAACUCCCACCAAUGUGGUUACUGUUACAAAGUUGUAUGGUUUCUGGGUCAUGUUUGGUGUCAGAAUAUGUAUGUAUAUCCUUAUAAAUAUCAAAUGUAGAACUGAUAGUAGUUUACCCAUCAGAUUUUCAAAAAUAAGGGAAGAUUUUUAGCAGUUUGUAAGAAAUAUAGGCGUACUCAUAUAUACAUAUAAAUAAUUUAGAAUUCUAAUCUAUAGCACAUAUGCUCUUACAGUAUUCUCUUUGAAGGUAAAACAUUUUAUUCUCAAAGAAUAAGUUUAAGUUGUUAAGCCAUGAAUUAUGACCACAGUGACUAUGUUUCUUUGUAGGAGUUAUGUGUUGGGGAAGGAAAGAAGUAGCUAGCAGGGUUAACAUGGAAAACAGGAGAUUACAGAGAAGCGUCAUCUGAGCCUUUAGUCACUACGAAUAAUUGUCAACAGUGACUGGGGUUUUUUUGGUGCUAGUUGCAGAAUCCUAUCUUAUUGUGGUUAGAUUUCAAUAAAGAAUGUUUAAGAUCAGGACUAUGUCUGGCUUUUUAAGAUUCCAUAUUCAUGUUAAAGCUUGUGUAUAUUUGUUUUUUGUUUUUGUUUUUGAGAUGGAGUUUCACUCUGUCUCCCAGGCUGGAGUGCAGUGGUGCGAUCUUGGCUCACUGCAACCUCUGCUUCCCAGGCUCAAGCAGUUCUCUGCCUCUGCCUCCCGAGUAGCUGGGACUACAGGCAUGUGCCACCACACCCAGGUAAUUUUUGUAUUUUUUGUAGAGACAGGAUUUCGCCGUGUUGGCCAGACUGGUCUCGAACUCCUGACCUUAGGUGAUCCACCUGCCCCAGCCUCUCAGAGUGCUGGAUUACAGGCGUUAGCCACUGCACGUGGCUGAAUCCUUCCUUUAAUUUUUGAUCAGGGUUGGGUGUGUUGGCUCAUGCCUGUAAUCCCAGCACUUUGGGAGGCUGAAGCCGACGGAUCACUUAAGGUCAGGAGUUUGAGACCAGCCUGGCUAACAUGGUGAAAUGCUGUCUCUACUAAAAAUACAAAAAUUAGCUGGGCAUGGUGGUGCACACCUAUAAUCUUAGCUAUUUGGGAGGCUGAGGCAUGAGAUUUGCUCGAACCUGGAGGGUGGUGGUUGCAGUGAGCUGAGAUUGCACCACUGUACUUUAGCCUGGGUAACAGAGACUGUCUCAAAAAAAAAAAAAAAAAAAAAGGAUCAGGAUAUAUUCCCUGUCGAGUUGUCAUUAACAUUUUGUUUUUUGAGAUGGAGUCUUGCUCUGUCGCCCAGGCUGGAGCAACCUCUGCCUCCUAUGUUCAAGCUAUUCUCUUGCCUCAGUCUUCCCAGUAGCUGGGAUUACAGUCAUGUGCCAUCACACCCUGCUAAUUUUUUUUUUUUUAGACAGAGUUUUCUCUUGUUGCCUAGGCUGGAGUGCAAUGGCACAAUCUCAGCUCACCACAACCUCUGCUUCCCAGGUUCAAGUGAUUCUCCCACCUCAGCCUCCUGAGUAGCUGGCAUUACAGACAUGCGCCACCACAUCUGGCUAAUUUUUUGUAUUUUUAGUAGAGAUGGGUUUUCACUAUGUUGGUCUCAAUCUCCUGACCUCAGAUGAUCUGCCCACCUCAGCCUCCCAGAGUGCUGGGAUUACAGGCAUGAGCCACUGCACCUGGCCUAAUUUUCAUCUUUUUAAUAGAGAUAGGGUUUUGUGGUCUCCAACUCUUGACCUCAGGUGAUCUGCCUACCUCAGCCUUCAAAAAGGCUGGGGUUAUAGGCACGCACCACCACAUUACACCUCAUUUAAUUUUUGUAUUUUUAGUAGAGACAGGAUUUUGCCAUGUUGAUUAGGCUGAUUUCAAACUCCUGGUCUCAGUUGAUCCACUUGCCUCGGCCUCCGAAAGUGCUGGGAUUACAGGCAUGAGCCACCACGCCUGGUUGGUACCCAGCUUCUGCCAGUAGUCAUCAUGAUACCCAUUGGUUGUUGGAGGAAAUAGAAACAGCAAUUAAUCUGUAGUGACUGUGCACGGUGGCUCAUGCCUGUAAUCCCAGCAGUUUGGGAGGCUAAAGUGGGUGGAUUGCUUGAGGUAAGGAGUUUGAGACUAGCCUGGGCAACAUGGCGAAACCUCAUGUUAGCUGGGUGGGGUGGCAGGUGCCUGUAGUCCCAGCUACUUGGGAGGCUGAGGUAGGAGGAUUACUUGAGCCUAGGAGGCUGCAGUGACCUGUAAUUGUACCACAGGACUCCAGCCUGGGUGAUAGAAUGAGACCCUUUUUCAAAAAAAACCUGUAAUGGUCUCUGCACAUUCCUAGCACCAAUGACAAAAGAGGAGCCACAUGCCAGCAAUCCCCUUGGUUGCUUUUCUAUUCUGUGUGUGAGACAGAAGAUCUCAAUUUUAGUGUACAGGUGAGGAACAAAGCUGAGCAGACAUGGUAUGGAAGAGAGAGCUUACUGAUUUAAUUGCCAGGAGAAGUGUCUAAGUCAGAGGUUGGAGUUGCUUCUCUGUGUUUUACUCGGUUUGUGCAGAGCUGCUUUGUACCAGGCUUGUACCACUUGGGAUGCUCUUUGCUUUUCCUUUCACUUUCACACAUCUUGAGCACCUGCUGUGGGUCAGCUCUGUGCAGGGGUACAAAGAUGAUAGAUGCAGCAGAGUAUAAAACAGUCAGAAUCCACUGAGGUAGCUGCACCAGGUAUAUUCACAUAAUACAGUAGGAACAUGGAAGAGGGGGCAGGCAGGGCCAGGUAACCCUCAGGGUGAUCUAGACCCAGGGAACAACAUGAUCCAAAGUAUGAAGAUGUAAGGGUGUGACGUGAUGGGGCAUACCAACUGUUGAGAGCUGAGGUCACUUGUAAUUCCAGCGCUUAGCAGAGGCCAGAGAAUGGCUUGAGCCCAGGAGUUGCAUGCUCAGGCAAAAUAGGGAGACCCCUUUCUUCACAAAAA